Varanus komodoensis (Komodo dragon) is the source of this 293-nucleotide long non-coding RNA. RefSeq lists it as uncharacterized. NCBI's taxonomy places the organism in Eukaryota, Metazoa, Chordata, Lepidosauria, Squamata, Varanidae. The record is from RefSeq and is a predicted model, not a curated record. The transcript is spliced from 3 exons.
AAUAACAAUUAGGAUUCUGAAGAUUUAAACAUGCAGCAGCAUUAACAUCUCUGUAUUUCAUUUUUUUUUAUUAGCUGCUUAUCCUGCCCGAGCAAGAAAUGAUCUUCUGCAAUUAGGUGUCUCCACGAGUCGCAUUCCUUAUGCAUUCAACUACCUGUAUCAGUAGUUGGUCUUGGAGCAUGCAUGAACCGCGGACGGCACUGAAGGGUUCUCACGAGCCACUCUCAGCCACGGCUCAGAUCCAACCGGUCAGUCCUAGAGGAGAUCAACUCUGACUGCUCUUUGGAAGGCCA